RNAcentral lists this ribosomal RNA (459 nucleotides) under uncultured bacterium. RNAcentral describes it as "partial 16S ribosomal RNA". It matches the Rfam family "Bacterial small subunit ribosomal RNA", at positions 338 to 795 of the family's 1533-position model. The record is from RNAcentral.
CCUACGGGUGGCAGCAGUGAGGAAUAUUGGUCAAUGGGCGCGAGCCUGAACCAGCCAAGUAGCGUGAAGGAUGACUGCCCUACGGGUGGUAAACUUCUUUUAUAAAGGAAUAAAGUGAGGCACGUGAGCCUUUUUGUAUGUACUUUAUGAAUAAGGAUCGGCUAACUCCGUGCCAGCAGCCGCGGUAAUACGGCGGAUCCGAGCGUUAUCCGGAUUUAUUGGGUUUAAGGGGAGCGUAGAUGGGUUGUUAAGUCAGUGGUAAAAACACGGGGCUCAACCCCGUCCGGCCGUUGAAACUGGGGGCCGUGAGUGGGCGAGAAGAAGGCGGAAUGCGUGGUGUAGCGGUGAAAUGCAUAGAUAUCACGCAGAACCCCGAUUGCGAAGGCAGCCUUCCGGCGCCCUACUGACGCUGAGGCACGAAAGUGCGGGGAUCGAACAGGAUUAGAUACCCGGGUAGUC